AUGUCCCUAAAUUGGUGAAAGAUUAAUUGCCUGAAGGUGAGCUCGCGUCAGAUUAGCUAGUAGGUGGUGUAAGGGACUACCUAGGCAUUGAUCUGUAGCUGGUCUGAGAGGACGAUCAGCCACACUGGAACUGAGACACGGUCCAGACUCCUACGGGAGGCAGCAGUGGGGAAUUUUCCGCAAUGGGCGAAAGCCUGCCUCCUACGGAGCAAUACCGCGUGAUGGCCCCGAAUUUACCGAAGCCUAAUCCUUUAGGUCCCGCCAAUUUCUUUAUUAGGGAAGAAAUAGACGGUACCUAAUGAAUAAGCAUCGGCUAACUCCGUGCCAGCAGCCGCGGUAAUACGGAGGAUGCAAGCGUUAUCCGGAAUGAUUGGGCGUAAAGCGUCCGCAGGCGGUUUUGUAAGUCUGCUGUCAAAGCGUUAGGCUUAACCUAAUAAAGGCAGUGGAAACUAUGAGACUAGAGUACGUUAGGGGUAGAGGGAAUUCCCAGUGUAGCGGUGAAAUGCGUAGAGAUUGGGAAGAACACCGGUGGCGAAAGCGCUCUGCUAGGACUGUACUGACGCUG
RNAcentral lists this ribosomal RNA (565 nucleotides) under Calothrix sp. KK15. RNAcentral describes it as "bacterial SSU rRNA". It matches the Rfam family "Bacterial small subunit ribosomal RNA", at positions 186 to 748 of the family's 1533-position model. The record is from RNAcentral. Lineage: Bacteria; Bacillati; Cyanobacteriota; Cyanophyceae; Nostocales; Calotrichaceae.